Molecule: long non-coding RNA, 390 nt
Filed under: Musa acuminata (dwarf banana)
Lineage: Eukaryota; Viridiplantae; Streptophyta; Magnoliopsida; Zingiberales; Musaceae
Description: long non-coding RNA (MACU_LNC005856)
Source: RNAcentral
UUAAAAUUAUUUGAAUCCCAAAUGUGGGAAAAAUGAUGAAAAACCUCAAGCUCUUCUUCUUCUUCUUCUUCUUCUUCUUCUUUUCUCAAACUCACGUUGGCUGCAACUCUUCAGGUUUGUUUUCUUUAACCUUUCAUCUAAUUAUUUUGGUUUUGGCUAAUGCAAAAGUUGCAAGGUGUCAUGCAUGCAUGAAAGGGGCUAGGUGUCAUCUUUAGAGCAAAGAUAAGUGGCACCAACCUUAGGUUAGCUAGUGACACAUGUCCACUAUAUUUUUUUUUCUUUUUUUUCUUUUAACUUAAAUCUGAAUCUUUCAUAAAUUAUAUCAAACUUCUAAUAUUUACUCUUAGGUCCCUAGCCAUAAACUUUUAAUAUAAUAUUAUUAAAUAUAAA